RNAcentral lists this ribosomal RNA (300 nucleotides) under uncultured Gracilimonas sp. RNAcentral describes it as "bacterial SSU rRNA". It matches the Rfam family "Bacterial small subunit ribosomal RNA", at positions 496 to 795 of the family's 1533-position model. Lineage: Bacteria; Pseudomonadati; Balneolota; Balneolia; Balneolales; Balneolaceae. The record is from RNAcentral.
GCUAACUCCGUGCCAGCAGCCGCGGUAAUACGGAGGGUGCAAGCGUUGUCCGGAAUCAUUGGGUGUAAAGGGUGCGUAGGCUGGCGCUUAAGUCUGAGGUGAAAUCUUGCCGCUUAACGGUAAAAUGGCCUUGGAUACUGGGUGUCUUGAAUCUGACAGAGGUCGGUGGAAUUCGUAGUGUAGCGGUGAAAUGCAUAGAUAUUACGAAGAACACCAGUGGCGAAGGCGGCCGGCUGGGUCAGUAUUGACGCUGAGGCACGAGAGCGUGGGGAGCGAACAGGAUUAGAUACCCUUGUAGUC